RNAcentral lists this long non-coding RNA (866 nucleotides) under Mus pahari (shrew mouse). Its description in RNAcentral is "lncRNA (MGP_PahariEiJ_G0004902.1)". The record is from RNAcentral. Lineage: Eukaryota; Metazoa; Chordata; Mammalia; Rodentia; Muridae.
CCGAACCCAGUGCACCUGCUGCAGCCUGGCACUAGGGAUUUGAAAAUCCAUGGAGAUGGAAACCUACGCCGAGGUUAGAAGGCCUGGAUCCACUUUGCAGGGUUUUAAAUAUCCUUCAAGCCUCAGUGCCUGGCAGACUGGACUUUGGACUUCCAGCUCCGAUGCUGGAAAAGGAGGUUUUUUUUUUUUUUUUCCCCACUUUGCUCUCUUGCAUGUCGAAGUUGAGAACAAACGGUGGUUUUGAGGGGCACCAUCUAGGGGUACUCGCUGCUCCAAACCUUGGAACCCGAGGUCUAACCUUGGAAAGAGUUGCCGCCUUACCUUCCUUCUCUCCUCGCCUGGACAAGUCCCAGCUGUGUGCUCUACUGCAGGGUCACAGUGCCGCGGUGCCGAGCUUCUUUCGUGGUCCCUGUCGCCGUCAGUUUCUUGAGAUUUCAGACUCUGGGCUUGGAAACCAGUUGACUGCCUUUCUUAGCGAGGUGCCAUUGGAAACCUGUGGAGAAAUUUUUGGAUUAUGAAUGCUCACCGUGCCGAGGUAAAGCAUAGGGCUUUGGCGCCUUCGGCCCCUGUGGUCAGCGGUAGGGCGGAUCGGACGUUGCAGAAGCACUUUUCUGCGGUGAUAAGAAGGUGCUACCCACCUUCAGCUGGCUGUAGUUGGAAUGACCCUCAGCUGGACUUUGGGAACUCGGACUAGUUAGAAGCUUCGAAGUACCUAACAGGAAGCGGCAGGGGUGGGGUGGGGGUGGGAUUCGAAUUUAGCCUGGUCCAUUGGGACACUUGUAUACCCCAGUGUAAAUGAUCCUGACCUCAGCACUGGUGGGACCGGUUCUCUCUCUCUCUCUCUCUCUCUCUCUCUCUCUCUCUCU